This 492-nucleotide ribosomal RNA is filed under the name uncultured bacterium. Its description in RNAcentral is "partial 16S ribosomal RNA". It matches the Rfam family "Bacterial small subunit ribosomal RNA", at positions 29 to 507 of the family's 1533-position model. The record is from RNAcentral.
AGUGAACGCUGGCGGUAGGCCUAACACAUGCAAGUCGAACGGCAGCACAGUAAGAGCUUGCUCUUACGGGUGGCGAGUGGCGGACGGGUGAGGACUACAUCGGAAUCUACUUUUUCGUGGGGGAUAACGUAGGGAAACUUACGCUAAUACCGCAUACGACCUACGGGUGAAAGCAGGGGAUCUUCGGACCUUGCGCGAUUGAAUGAGCCGAUGUCGGAUUAGCUAGUUGGCGGGGUAAAGGCCCACCAAGGCGACGAUCCGUAGCUGGUCUGAGAGGAUGAUCAGCCACACUGGAACUGAGACACGGUCCAGACUCCUACGGGAGGCAGCAGUGGGGAAUAUUGGACAAUGGGCGCAAGCCUGAUCCAGCCAUACCGCGUGGGUGAAGAAGGCCUUCGGGUUGUAAAGCCCUUUUGUUGGGAAAGAAAAGCAGCAGGUUAAUACCCCGCUGUUCUGACGUUACCCAAAGAAUAAGCACCGGCUAACUUCGUG